GUGGCUAAGCUACUAAGAGCAAACGGCGGAUGCCUUGGUGUCAAGUGAAGAAGAAAGACGUGGAAAGCUGCGAUAAGCCUCGGUAAGGAGCUA
This 93-nucleotide ribosomal RNA is filed under the name Desulfobacter latus. RNAcentral's name for it is "partial 23S ribosomal RNA". It matches the Rfam family "Bacterial large subunit ribosomal RNA", at positions 1 to 91 of the family's 2925-position model. The record is from RNAcentral. Lineage: Bacteria; Pseudomonadati; Thermodesulfobacteriota; Desulfobacteria; Desulfobacterales; Desulfobacteraceae.